GCCAUGUUCUCAUCCCCUUACUCACUCUGAGUUGUACCUUACUCCGUGAAUAUUCCUACUUUGAGUCAUGUAGAGUAGCAUUGACUUAAUUAUCAGCAUCUGGCCCUCAAUCUGACUACAUCAUAACCAAAGGAAUGAGAGGGCAGGUCUGUGCUACAAAUUUACAUCUGUGCUGGUGCAGCUGCAGCCAUCUGGUGAAGAUGUUCUAAGUUGAUGGGAGAGAGCUCUGCUGUGGGCUUAAUAACUCCAUCUCCAUGAGAGGAUCUCCUGCUGACAUAGUACUGUCUACACGGGGGGCGGGGGGAGUAAGAAAUAAUCACAUCUGCGUUCAGAGGAGGAACACUGGCCUCAGAUCGCAUAUUGAUGAACUUCAAGACAAGGUGGAUGAGGCAAUAUCCUUUAUUGGACUAGCUUCUGUUGAUGAGAGACAAACUUCUGAGCUUAUGCAGAGCUGCUUCUUGUUUGUUUGAUCAGCUACUGUACUGUGGAUGAACAUUUUAUAUUCGCUUCCCAAGGUACUCU
Molecule: long non-coding RNA, 522 nt
Organism: Mauremys reevesii (Reeves's turtle)
Lineage: Eukaryota; Metazoa; Chordata; Testudines; Geoemydidae
Exons: 3
Source: RefSeq, a predicted model, not a curated record